Molecule: ribosomal RNA, 253 nt
Filed under: uncultured bacterium
Lineage: Bacteria
Description: partial 16S ribosomal RNA
Rfam family: Bacterial small subunit ribosomal RNA
Source: RNAcentral
GACGGAGGGUGCGAGCGUUAAUCGGAAUUACUGGGCGUAAAGGGCGCGUAGGCGGUGGGUUACGUCUGCCGUGAAAUCCCCGGGCUCAACCUGGGAAUGGCGGUGGAAACGGGCUGACUGGAGUAUGGGAGAGGGUGAUGGAAUUCCAGGUGUAGCGGUGAAAUGCGUAGAGAUCUGGAGGAACACCAGGGGCGAAGGCGGGCACCUGGCCCAAUACUGACGCUGAGGCGCGAAAGCGUGGGGAGCAAACAGG